Molecule: ribosomal RNA, 1133 nt
Filed under: Salmonella enterica subsp. enterica serovar Agona
Lineage: Bacteria; Pseudomonadati; Pseudomonadota; Gammaproteobacteria; Enterobacterales; Enterobacteriaceae
Also listed under: 1 other name
Description: bacterial SSU rRNA
Rfam family: Bacterial small subunit ribosomal RNA
Source: RNAcentral
AAAUUGAAGAGUUUGAUCAUGGCUCAGAUUGAACGCUGGCGGCAGGCCUAACACAUGCAAGUCGAACGGUAACAGGAAGCAGCUUGCUGCUUCGCUGACGAGUGGCGGACGGGUGAGUAAUGUCUGGGAAACUGCCUGAUGGAGGGGGAUAACUACUGGAAACGGUGGCUAAUACCGCAUAACGUCGCAAGACCAAAGAGGGGGACCUUCGGGCCUCUUGCCAUCAGAUGUGCCCAGAUGGGAUUAGCUUGUUGGUGAGGUAACGGCUCACCAAGGCGACGAUCCCUAGCUGGUCUGAGAGGAUGACCAGCCACACUGGAACUGAGACACGGUCCAGACUCCUACGGGAGGCAGCAGUGGGGAAUAUUGCACAAUGGGCGCAAGCCUGAUGCAGCCAUGCCGCGUGUAUGAAGAAGGCCUUCGGGUUGUAAAGUACUUUCAGCGGGGAGGAAGGUGUUGUGGUUAAUAACCGCAGCAAUUGACGUUACCCGCAGAAGAAGCACCGGCUAACUCCGUGCCAGCAGCCGCGGUAAUACGGAGGGUGCAAGCGUUAAUCGGAAUUACUGGGCGUAAAGCGCACGCAGGCGGUCUGUCAAGUCGGAUGUGAAAUCCCCGGGCUCAACCUGGGAACUGCAUUCGAAACUGGCAGGCUUGAGUCUUGUAGAGGGGGGUAGAAUUCCAGGUGUAGCGGUGAAAUGCGUAGAGAUCUGGAGGAAUACCGGUGGCGAAGGCGGCCCCCUGGACAAAGACUGACGCUCAGGUGCGAAAGCGUGGGGAGCAAACAGGAUUAGAUACCCUGGUAGUCCACGCCGUAAACGAUGUCUACUUGGAGGUUGUGCCCUUGAGGCGUGGCUUCCGGAGCUAACGCGUUAAGUAGACCGCCUGGGGAGUACGGCCGCAAGGUUAAAACUCAAAUGAAUUGACGGGGGCCCGCACAAGCGGUGGAGCAUGUGGUUUAAUUCGAUGCAACGCGAAGAACCUUACCUGGUCUUGACAUCCACGGAAGUUUUCAGAGAUGAGAAUGUGCCUUCGGGAACCGUGAGACAGGUGCUGCAUGGCUGUCGUCAGCUCGUGUUGUGAAAUGUUGGGUUAAGUCCCGCAACGAGCGCAACCCUUAUCCUUUGUUGCCAGCG